CCCUUAGAUGUUCUGGGCCGCACGCGUGCUACACUGAGUGGAUCAGCGGGUCAGGUUGCGCGAAAGUGUUUCCUAAUCUUUAAAUCCGCUCGUGAUGGGGAUUGACGGUUGCAAUUUUCCGUCAUGAACGAGGAAUACCUUGUAAGCGCGGGUCAUCAUCCCGCGCUGAAUACGUCCCUGCCCUUUGUACACACCGCCCGUCGCUCCUACCGAUUGAGUGGUCCGGUGAGGCUUUGGGAUCUGGGCGGAAAGAGCGUUUCGCUGUUUCUGCCCGGGAAACUCAGUCGAACCUUAUCAUUUAGAGGAAGGAGAAGUCGUAACA
This 322-nucleotide ribosomal RNA is filed under the name uncultured eukaryote. RNAcentral's name for it is "partial 18S ribosomal RNA". It matches the Rfam family "Eukaryotic small subunit ribosomal RNA", at positions 1470 to 1796 of the family's 1831-position model. The record is from RNAcentral.